ACGCUCGACACCUACGGGAGGCAGCAGUGAGGAAUAUUGGUCAAUGGGCGCUAGCCUGAACCAGCCAAGUAGCGUGAAGGAUGAAGGCUCUAUGGGUCGUAAACUUCUUUUAUAUAAGAAUAAAGUGCAGUAUGUAUACUGUUUUGUAUGUAUUAUAUGAAUAAGGAUCGGCUAACUCCGUGCCAGCAGCCGGGUAAUCUGAGCGGGCUGGCAAGGC
Molecule: ribosomal RNA, 217 nt
Filed under: uncultured bacterium
Lineage: Bacteria
Description: partial 16S ribosomal RNA
Rfam family: Bacterial small subunit ribosomal RNA
Source: RNAcentral